CGUAAUACCGGAUGACGUCGGAGAAUCGCAUGAUUCACUGACGAAAGAUAUUCGGUUUGGGAGCGUCUCGCGGCCUAUCAGCUUGUUGGUGGGGUAAUGGCCUACCAAGGCAACGACGGGUAGCUGGUCUGAGAGGAUGAUCAGCCACACUGGGACUGAGACACGGCCCAGACUCCCUACGGGAGGCAGCAGUGGGGAAUCUUGCGCAAUGGGCGAAAGCCUGACGCAGCAACGCCGCGUGCGGGAUGAAGGCCUUCGGGCUGUAAACCGCUUUCAGCAGGAACGAAAAUGACGGUACCUGCAGAAGAAGGAGCGGCCAACUACGUG
This 327-nucleotide ribosomal RNA is filed under the name uncultured bacterium. Its description in RNAcentral is "bacterial SSU rRNA". It matches the Rfam family "Bacterial small subunit ribosomal RNA", at positions 162 to 507 of the family's 1533-position model. The record is from RNAcentral.